AUGUCAGAGAUUGAGCGGGACAAGCUCUCGCUGCCAGAGCUGAAAGGCUUUUUAGGAGAUCAUAUGACAGUGAAGGAAAGCAUGAAGUUCCAUUUUUUGUUGCCUGGCAGGGAGUUGAUAAAUGGACUGCUUUUCUUAUUUGAUGAUGUUGGUUGCAUGAAGAUGUCUAACUACAUUACAGAUGGAGGGGUUGCUGAAGUAUAUGUGGAGUAUAAUGGGGAAGAGGAUGAACCAGAGGAAGCAGAUAGUGGGUCUGAUUUUGAAGGAGAUGAGCUUGAGAACCUGAUGUGUAUUGGCAGUGAAGAUGCACCUAAUUUAGUUAUCACAGCAGAAGAUGAGCAUGGCAAUGGAAAUGAACAGACUAGUGGUGCAAGAGGAGAGAUACUUGAACACAUACUUGUUCCCAAUAAAGGUGGUGUGGUCACACAAGUGAUUAGCAGUCCAUUGAAGAAAAAUGUGAGAAGUGGUUAUGCUAGUCAGAGUUCUCAAGUUGUUAAUCCAACUCAAGCAUAUGAUAUGUCCCAAGUUUCUGAAGUUGUAGAAAAUGUUGCAGUAGAUGCACAACAUGCUGUUGUAGUUCCACAAAAUGGUACUGCCAUUUCUGAAAGUGUCGCAGUACUUUCUGAAAAUGUUGCAGAAGUUGCACAAGAUGUUGUAGAUUCAUUUGACUCAGAGGACAUUGAGUAUGUGCCACAUACAGAUGACAGUGGGGAAGAAUCAGAGGUUGUUGAGCUGAGAAAGCAUGCAAGAAAAUUCAGGAAAAGGAUGAGAGAUUCCAAGAGUCUGGGAAUGGUUUUUAGAAGCAAGAAGCAGUUAACUAAAGCUAUAAAGAGAUAUGGACUUGCUACCAAAAGGAGCAUUUCCUUCUUAAAAUCUGAGGAGCACAGAGUUAGAGCAAAAUGGGACUGGCCUGGGUGUCCAUGGUUGUUAUAUGCAGCAAAAACAAGCAGGUGCUCUAGGUUUCAAAUCAUCACAUUUGAAGAUGAACAUGAAUGUGCACAAAAUAGAGACAACAAACUGGUUACUGCUAAGGUCAUUGCCAAAAGGUAUGAGAAUUUCAUCUUGGCAAAUCCUCUAUGGAAGAUUGACAGCAUGAAAUCCGCAGUGAUGCAAGAAAUGUUUGCUGAUGUAUCAAUUUCAAAGUGCAAGGCAGCAAAAAAAAUUGUACUUGACAAGCUUUUAUGUGGUAUGAAAAAUGAGUACACAAAAGUGUUUGAUUAUCAGUUGGAACUUCUUAGAAGCAACCCGGGGAGCACAGUGAUUGUUUGCUUGGAUCCAAAAGAGAUGGAGCAGAACAUUUUCCAGCAAUUUUAUGUUUGUUUCAAUGCAAUGAAGAAAGGGUUUAAAGCAGGAUGCAGAAAAGUGAUUGGGCUGGAUGGAUGUUUCUUCAAGGGAGCAUGCCAAGGUGAGCUACUAGCUGCAAUUGCCAGGGAUGCCAACAACCAAAUGUAUCCAGUUGCAUGGGCUGUUGUGGAGAAGGAGACCAAGGAUACCUGGGCCUGGUUUAUUGGACUUCUUAUCAAAGAUUUGGACAUUAAUGAUCAAGGUGCUGGGUGGGUCUUUAUUUCUGACCAACAAAAGGGCCUAAUUAUAAGCAUGAGAGACUACUUGCCUAGGGCAGAGCAUAGGAUGUGUGCUAGGCACAUUUAUGCCAAUUGGAGAAAGAAACACAAAGACGAUGAGUUGCAGAAAAGGUUCUGGGCCAUUGCAAAGGCUUCAAACAGGGAAGAUUUUAACUACAACAAAGCCAAGCUAGCUCAACUUACUCCUGAUGGUGCAAAGGAUAUCAUGAGGACAGAGCCCAAGCAUUGGGCUAGGGCUUUCUUUCCAGUUGGGGCAAAAUGUGAAUCAGUUGACAACAACCUUUGUGAAUCAUUCAACAAUGCUAUUAUAGAAGCUAGGUUCUACCCCAUUAUUUCACAGCAAGAGAAGAUCAGGAAGAAAUUAUAUGUUAGAGUUCAAGAGCACAGAGCCAAAAGUGACAACUGGAAGGGCACAAUUUGCCCAAACAUUUUUAAAAAACUCAAGGCUAGUAUCAAGAGAACUCAAUUUUGUGAGGUCCUCUGGAAUGGCAAGGAGGGCUUUGAGGUCAAGCAUCUGACUGGGAGAGGCAGGAGGGCAAAGGAAAAAGAAUAA
RNAcentral lists this ribosomal RNA (2136 nucleotides) under Triticum aestivum (bread wheat). Its description in RNAcentral is "partial small subunit ribosomal RNA". Lineage: Eukaryota; Viridiplantae; Streptophyta; Magnoliopsida; Poales; Poaceae. The record is from RNAcentral.